Molecule: transfer RNA, 64 nt
Filed under: Donacia flemola
Lineage: Eukaryota; Metazoa; Arthropoda; Insecta; Coleoptera; Chrysomelidae
Description: tRNA-Asp
Source: RNAcentral
AAAAAUUUAGUUAAAAAAUAACAGUAGUCCGUCAAACUAAAAUUGUUCUCAUGAACUUUUUUUA